UGAGGGAAAGUUGCAAAGAACUUUGAAGAGAGAGUUCAAGAGUACGUGAAACUGCUCAGGGGCAAACGGGUGGGCCCUCGAAGUCCGCGCGGAGAGGGAUUCAGUCGCGAUCCGAGGACGACGCGUGGUGUCGGGACGCCGGAGGGCGCCCGUACCGGUGUCGGUUCCGAGGGGCGCGACGCACUUUCCUCUCCCGAUGGACGCCGCAGCCGGUGGGGAGUCGGCAGUGAGGAUCCGGCGGGAAGGUGGCGUGGAUCCGGCCCUCGGGUCGGCGUCCCGUGUCUGCCCCGCCUACGGUCCGUGCGCGGCUCCCGACCGAGGGAAACCGUCGUCUCCGGACGACGUGCCGUGGCCUCUCUAGAGAGCGGAGGCCUGCGCCAGAGAACGGCGGCGUACCCCGAGUCACCGUGCGGUGGCCGGGGGCGUCGCUGCCUCGCUGGGCGCGACCGACCGCGGAGCGAGCCCCGGGCUGGCGGCGAGUAGGUCGGUAACCCACCCGACCCGUCUUGAAACACGGACCAAGGAGUCUAACGUGUGCGCGAGUCAGUGGGACUCGAACAAGCCCACGGGCGGAACGAAAGUGAGUGGUCGGGAUCCGGCCGGAGACGGUCGGCGCACCGACGGCCUGGCGCGACCCCCGGACACGGGGACGUCGCCGGCGCCGGAGCGCACGCGUUGGGACCCGAAAGAUGGUGAACUAUGCCCGGGCAGGUCGAAGCUAGAGGAAACUCUGGUGGAGGACCGCAGCGGUUCUGACGUGCAAAUCGAUCGUCGAACCUAGG
This 782-nucleotide ribosomal RNA is filed under the name Pehrforsskalia conopyga. RNAcentral's name for it is "eukaryotic LSU rRNA". It matches the Rfam family "Eukaryotic large subunit ribosomal RNA", at positions 354 to 915 of the family's 3401-position model. Lineage: Eukaryota; Metazoa; Arthropoda; Arachnida; Araneae; Pholcidae. The record is from RNAcentral.